RNAcentral lists this unclassified non-coding RNA (292 nucleotides) under uncultured fungus. Its description in RNAcentral is "sequence contains ITS1". The record is from RNAcentral. Lineage: Eukaryota; Fungi.
GGACUACGCGGGUUUCUAAUCCUGUUUGAUCCCCACGCUUUCGUGCCUCAGCGUCAAUAUUUGUGUAGUGAGCUGCCUUCGCAAUUGGUGUUCUAUGUCAUAUCUAAGCAUUUCACCGCUACAUGACAUAUUCCGCUCACCUCCACAACAUUCAAGACACAUAGUAUCCAUGGCAGUUUCCGAGUUAAGCUCGGAGAUUUCACCACGGACUUACAUGCCCGCCUACGCACCCUUUAAACCCAGUGAAUCCGGAUAACGCUUGCACCCUCCGUAUUACCGCGGCGGCUGACAC